RNAcentral lists this ribosomal RNA (1361 nucleotides) under Bacillus thuringiensis serovar galleriae. Its description in RNAcentral is "bacterial LSU rRNA". It matches the Rfam family "Bacterial large subunit ribosomal RNA", at positions 1552 to 2925 of the family's 2925-position model. Lineage: Bacteria; Bacillati; Bacillota; Bacilli; Caryophanales; Bacillaceae. The record is from RNAcentral.
UAUGCUGAGCUGUGAUGGGGAAGCUCCUUAUGGAGCGAAGUCUUUGAUUCCCCGCUGCCAAGAAAAGCUUCUAGCGAGAUAAAAGGUGCCUGUACCGCAAACCGACACAGGUAGGCGAGGAGAGAAUCCUAAGGUGUGCGAGAGAACUCUGGUUAAGGAACUCGGCAAAAUGACCCCGUAACUUCGGGAGAAGGGGUGCUUUCUUAACGGAAAGCCGCAGUGAAUAGGCCCAAGCGACUGUUUAGCAAAAACACAGCUCUCUGCGAAGCCGUAAGGCGAAGUAUAGGGGGUGACACCUGCCCGGUGCUGGAAGGUUAAGGAGAGGGGUUAGCGUAAGCGAAGCUCUGAACUGAAGCCCCAGUAAACGGCGGCCGUAACUAUAACGGUCCUAAGGUAGCGAAAUUCCUUGUCGGGUAAGUUCCGACCCGCACGAAAGGUGUAACGAUUUGGGCACUGUCUCAACCAGAGACUCGGUGAAAUUAUAGUACCUGUGAAGAUGCAGGUUACCCGCGACAGGACGGAAAGACCCCGUGGAGCUUUACUGUAGCCUGAUAUUGAAUUUUGGUACAGUUUGUACAGGAUAGGCGGGAGCCAUUGAAACCGGAGCGCUAGCUUCGGUGGAGGCGCUGGUGGGAUACCGCCCUGACUGUAUUGAAAUUCUAACCUACGGGUCUUAUCGACCCGGGAGACAGUGUCAGGUGGGCAGUUUGACUGGGGCGGUCGCCUCCUAAAGUGUAACGGAGGCGCCCAAAGGUUCCCUCAGAAUGGUUGGAAAUCAUUCGUAGAGUGCAAAGGCAUAAGGGAGCUUGACUGCGAGACCUACAAGUCGAGCAGGGACGAAAGUCGGGCUUAGUGAUCCGGUGGUUCCGCAUGGAAGGGCCAUCGCUCAACGGAUAAAAGCUACCCCGGGGAUAACAGGCUUAUCUCCCCCAAGAGUCCACAUCGACGGGGAGGUUUGGCACCUCGAUGUCGGCUCAUCGCAUCCUGGGGCUGUAGUCGGUCCCAAGGGUUGGGCUGUUCGCCCAUUAAAGCGGUACGCGAGCUGGGUUCAGAACGUCGUGAGACAGUUCGGUCCCUAUCCGUCGUGGGCGUAGGAAAUUUGAGAGGAGCUGUCCUUAGUACGAGAGGACCGGGAUGGACGCACCGCUGGUGUACCAGUUGUUCUGCCAAGGGCAUAGCUGGGUAGCUAUGUGCGGAAGGGAUAAGUGCUGAAAGCAUCUAAGCAUGAAGCCCCCCUCAAGAUGAGAUUUCCCAUAGCGUAAGCUAGUAAGAUCCCUGAAAGAUGAUCAGGUUGAUAGGUUCGAGGUGGAAGCAUGGUGACAUGUGGAGCUGACGAAUACUAAUAGAUCGAGGACUUAACC